RNAcentral lists this long non-coding RNA (740 nucleotides) under Marmota monax (woodchuck). Lineage: Eukaryota; Metazoa; Chordata; Mammalia; Rodentia; Sciuridae. The record is from RNAcentral.
GGAAUGAUGACCACAAUAUAUUUUAAAAGUUCAAAAAGUGAUUUAAAAUGAACAACUCACAAUAGAGGACUUAGGAACAUAUAUGUAAUGGGUCAUAUCUACUUGACUAUAAAAGGGAUGAGAUUCCCUUCUGUAUUUGCAAUCUCCCCAGCAGUUUGCCUGUGUUGUGCAUUGAAUUCUGCUUUAAUUCUUACUCAGUAAUAAACAAUUUACUUUCUCUUCCACUAGUGGGGAGAUUUUUCUGGGUUGCAGGAGGUUUUGUUCUAAUUUUGUUUCACCAACACAAGGCAUCCACCACCAGGGAGAAGGGCCCCCAUUGCCUGGCACCCACAUUCCCUCCAUGUAGGAGAAUUUUCAGGGAAGUCAAAUUAUCUCUAGAAGAUUCCCCGGCAAAUGUUACAUGUUGAGUUGUGUCCCCAGCCCCCCUAAAAAAACAAGAACAAAACACACUAGAGUCCCAACCCCAGCACCUCGAAUAGAAACUUAUUUGAAGAUAGUCUAUAGGGUGAUUGGGUUAAAUGAGGUCUUCAGGGUGGUCCCUAUUCCGAUAUGACUGUUAUCCUUAUAAAAAGGGGAAAUUUGGUCAUAGAGAGGGAAGAUGUCAUAAGGAGACAUAAAGAAAAGGAGAAAGACCUAGAACAGAUUCUUCCUCCACAGCCCUCAGAAGGGGCCAAUCCUGACAACUGGUACCUGAAUUUGGGCUUCUAACCCCUUCUAGAACUUUGACACUUUAACUUUCU